AUAAAUUUGGCCAUUAAGUGGCAGGGCUAACUGUUGCCUGAAGAAGGGUAA
Molecule: non-coding RNA, 51 nt
Filed under: uncultured Enterobacter sp.
Lineage: Bacteria; Pseudomonadati; Pseudomonadota; Gammaproteobacteria; Enterobacterales; Enterobacteriaceae
Description: algC RNA
Rfam family: algC RNA
Source: RNAcentral